AUGAAGUUCGGAUGGGGCCCAACUUACUCCCCAGUACUGAUGGUAGACCUGGGAUCCUUUAGCCUCAGGGAUUGGUUUAGGGUUGGGCCCUAAACCCCAAGCCAGACCACUCAGAACCUUCUCUGAGAUAUUUCCUAGAACUAGCAGGAAAAAGGAAAAAAAGGAUCCCCUUCCCCCUGCCCAUGUGUCCUAUGCCUCACCCACACAACCAGUAUGGAAUCAUCAGCUGGGAAGAGGAUGUCAUUUGAGAGCUGCUAAUGGCUAUCCUGGCCAUAGCAUGAGGAAGGAGAGUCAGCCUUAGCAUGAAGCCAACACUGAGAAAGCAGAGCAUAAAGUCACAGAGAGAGAGAGAGAGAGGCAGAGACACAGGAAGAGAGAGAAGCAGGCUCCAUGCACCGGGAGCCCGACGUGGGAUUCGAUCCCGGGUCUCCAGGAUCGCGCCCUGGGCCAAAGGCAGGCGCCAAACCGCUACGCCACCCAGGGAUCCCCUAAGAUGCUUUUGAUGAAGAGAUUGGUUGCAAUUAUGUGAGAGCAUUUGCUCAGACAUUCUGAGUUCCUUGUGUUUUUGCCUUUUUUGUUUCUGAAUAAAAGAAUUUUAAUGUUUUUCA
This is a long non-coding RNA of Canis lupus familiaris (dog), 608 nucleotides long. RefSeq lists it as uncharacterized. Lineage: Eukaryota; Metazoa; Chordata; Mammalia; Carnivora; Canidae. The record is from RefSeq and is a predicted model, not a curated record. The transcript is spliced from 2 exons.